UUGAAUGACACAUUUUUAUACUUGAUGGAUUUAUUCAGUUUUAAAAUCAUAAUCAUGUGGACAACAGACUUUUUCCAAGCCAUUUUUUUAUACUGUAUUCAUAAUACAUUUAAUAUAAUUGCUGUGUUUGUAAAAGAAAAAAAAGACGUGUUUUCUUUUAGCUGGCCACUUUGCCAUUUGCAGUGUGCAGCUGUCCUUAGCUGCUCUUGGUGCCUUUAAUUUAGAAUUGUACACUGCUUUUUUGGAAGCACCUGCACUGGUAAAGGGAUAUACUGACAUUUUUUGGUGUCUGUCCUAUAAAUAGAGCAUGAAGAGUCUUCACAGUAUUGGACCAAAUCUUUCUGUUAAUUACUAACCAACUAGCUCUGUUAAUUUUUCUUUUCACUUGUUUACAAUGGACUAAACUAUUCAUAUCCAUGCAAUUUAGAACUCCAGUUUUAAUUAUAAUAAAAUUCAACAUUAUAGUAUUUUAGCUUGAUGAGAAGUUGUUUAUGAAAUAUGCAAAAUGUAGGUGGUUUUCGUCAACUGGGAAAUUGUGUUUUAAGGUUUCAUUUUGUUUUCACAUGAAAAGCAGGAGAAUAUGGCUUUCUCUCGUAGUUACAGAGGCAGGUCAGAUGCUAAUUGUGGUGUAUCUUAAACUUUUCCAACAGACCUCAGUUUGGAAGAAAGUGUAGGAGAGAGGAGGUCGCUUAGAGACUGCUGGACACGAGGUGAAUGCUGUGCGGCUCCGUCCACAGAGGCCUGAGCAACAUGGCUCCCUGACACCGACAUGGAUCAUCUCAAGCACUUUGAACUGAGCAACUGCUGCAGUCGGCGGAAAGACAAGCCUGGAUGGCGGACAGGUGACCGAGGAGGAGAGGCUUUUCCCGUCAUCACCCUCUCACCUGCUCCUUGAACGCCCCCCAACCCCUUCAUGGGGCCUCCUGUGGAUACAGUGUCUUUUGCCCAAGCCUCCCGACAAGCAGUAUAAACGCUGCCUCGCCUGUGAGACCAGCGAUUGCACUGCUGCCUGGAACUCUACUGGUUCAGUAUUACGUAAGCGGCUUGUGAGCAGAGACCAUACAGCAUCUUAGUAAAGGCACGUGGCAGUCCUACCGCCAUUUGCUGGCUGUGCUCGCUCUUCUGCA
Long non-coding RNA from Physeter macrocephalus (sperm whale), 1127 nucleotides. RefSeq lists it as uncharacterized. The record is from RefSeq and is a predicted model, not a curated record. Lineage: Eukaryota; Metazoa; Chordata; Mammalia; Artiodactyla; Physeteridae. The transcript is spliced from 3 exons.